AAUCAACGCUGGCGGCGUGCCUAACACAUGCAAGUCGCACGAGAAAGGGACUUCGGUCCUGAGUACAGUGGCGCACGGGUGAGUAACACGUGAAUCAUCUACCUUCGAGUGGGGAAUAACUGAGAGAAAUCUUAGCUAAUACCGCAUAAUACCUACGGGUCAAAGCAGCAAUGCGCUUGAAGAGGAGUUCGCGGCAGAUUAGUUAGUUGGCAGGGUAGUGGCCUACCAAGACGAUGAUCUGUAUCCGGCCUGAGAGGGCGCACGGACACACUGGAACUGAAACACGGUCCAGACUCCGUACGGGAGGCAGCAGGUGGGGAAUUUUGCGCAAGUGGGGGAAACCCUGACGCAGCAACGCCGCGU
Molecule: ribosomal RNA, 363 nt
Filed under: uncultured bacterium
Lineage: Bacteria
Description: bacterial SSU rRNA
Rfam family: Bacterial small subunit ribosomal RNA
Source: RNAcentral